ACUCCUACGGGAGGCAGCAGUGGGGAAUCUUAGACAAUGGGGGCAACCCUGAUCUAGCCAUGCCGCGUGUGUGAUGAAGGCCUUAGGGUCGUAAAGCACUUUCGCCGGGGAAGAUAAUGACGGUACCCGGUAAAGAAGCCCCGGCUAACUCCGUGCCAGCAGCCGCGGUAAUACGGAGGGGCUAGCGUUGUUCGGAAUUACUGGGCGUAAAGCGCACGUAGGCGGAUCGGAAAGUUGGGGUGAAAUCCCAGGGCUCAACCCUGGAACUGCCUUCAAAACUAUCGGUCUAGAGUUCUGGAGAGGUGAGUGGAAUUCCGAGUGUAGAGGUGAAAUUCGUAGAUAUUCGGAGGAACACCAGUGGCGAAGGCGGCUCACUGGCCAGAUACUGACGCUGAGGUGCGAAAGUGUGGGGAGCAAACAGGAUUAGAUACCCUGGUAGCUACGAG
Molecule: ribosomal RNA, 446 nt
Filed under: uncultured bacterium
Lineage: Bacteria
Description: bacterial SSU rRNA
Rfam family: Bacterial small subunit ribosomal RNA
Source: RNAcentral